AGCGAACGCUGGCGGCAGGCCUAACACAUGCAAGUCGAACGAACUCUUCGGAGUUAGUGGCGGACGGGUGAGUAACACGUGGGAACGUGCCUUUAGGUUCGGAAUAACUCAGGGAAACUUGUGCUAAUACCGAAUGUGCCCUUCGGGGGAAAGAUUUAUCGCCUUUAGAGCGGCCCGCGUCUGAUUAGCUAGUUGGUAAG
This 200-nucleotide ribosomal RNA is filed under the name uncultured bacterium. RNAcentral describes it as "partial 16S ribosomal RNA". It matches the Rfam family "Bacterial small subunit ribosomal RNA", at positions 29 to 256 of the family's 1533-position model. The record is from RNAcentral.